AGAAGCCCAAGUUCUGAAGGAGCGUCCCGCAGACCCGUGACUCCUGCCACAGUCAGCAGGUUCAGCCAGAAGCAGACCCUGUGUCUCAACAAGAAAUUGCAUUUUCUCGUGAAACGCUGUACAAUCCCAAUGGCACUGCAAGAGAGCUCCCAAAGGGAAUCAUGAGCGGGAAGGAAAGGGACCCUGUGGAUAUAUCCAACACACUGGGCAUUAGCCCAGCUUCCGAGUGCACCUCUCUGUUAGCUCUGGAACUCGCUGCUGAGGUUUCCCACAUCUCUCUUGAACCAGAAAGAAGGGGCAACUGUUUUGACUAUCCCCAUUGAACUGGCUGUACCUCAGAAGUGAUCUUGUGAUGAGGACUU
Molecule: long non-coding RNA, 362 nt
Organism: Corvus hawaiiensis (hawaiian crow)
Lineage: Eukaryota; Metazoa; Chordata; Aves; Passeriformes; Corvidae
Exons: 3
Source: RefSeq, a predicted model, not a curated record